RNAcentral lists this ribosomal RNA (194 nucleotides) under uncultured bacterium. RNAcentral describes it as "partial 16S ribosomal RNA". It matches the Rfam family "Bacterial small subunit ribosomal RNA", at positions 1307 to 1500 of the family's 1533-position model. The record is from RNAcentral.
GCAACUCGCCUGUAUGAAGUCGGAAUUGCUAGUAAUCGCGGAUCAGCAUGCCGCGGUGAAUACGUUCCCGGGCCUUGUACACACCGCCCGUCACACCAUGAGAGCCGGGAACACCCGAAGUCCGUAGUCUAACCGCAAGGAGGACGCGGCCGAAGGUGGGUUUGGUAAUUGGGGUGAAGUCGUAACAAGGUACC